RNAcentral lists this ribosomal RNA (323 nucleotides) under uncultured eukaryote. RNAcentral's name for it is "partial 18S ribosomal RNA". It matches the Rfam family "Eukaryotic small subunit ribosomal RNA", at positions 1470 to 1796 of the family's 1831-position model. The record is from RNAcentral.
CCCCUAGACGUUCUGGGCUGCACGCGCGCUACAAUAAUACGCACAGCGAGUAUCACCGAGCUCGAAAGGGCAAGGUAAACAAUAGAAAAGGUACUGUAAUGGUUAUAGAUCCUUGUAAUUAUUGAUCUUCAACGAGGAAUUCCUAGUAAGUAUGUGUCAUCAUCACGCACUGAUUACGUCCCUGCCCUUUGUACACACCGCCCGUCGCUCCUACCGAUUGAGUGGUCCGGUGAAUUAUUCGGACUGCAACGCGUUCAGCUUCUGGAUGCAGUUGCGGAAAGUUUUGUAAACCUUAUCACUUAGAGGAAGGAGAAGUCGUAACA